GGGUUGUGAGGUUAAGCGACUAAGCGUACACGGUGGAUGCCCUGGCAGUCAGAGGCGAUGAAGGACGUGCUAAUCUGCGAUAAGCGUCGGUAAGGUGAUAUGAACCGUUAUAACCGGCGAUUUCCGAAUGGGGAAACCCAGUGUGAUUCGUCACACUAUCAUUAACUGAAUCCAUAGGUUAAUGAGGCGAACCGGGGGAACUGAAACAUCUAAGUACCCCGAGGAAAAGAAAUCAACCGAGAUUCCCCCAGUAGCGGCGAGCGAACGGGGAGCAGCCCAGAGCCUGAAUCAGUGUGUGUGUUAGUGGAAGCGUCUGGAAAGGCGCGCGAUACAGGGUGACAGCCCCGUACACAAAAAUGCACAUGCUGUGAGCUCGAUGAGUAGGGCGGGACACGUGGUAUCCUGUCUGAAUAUGGGGGGACCAUCCUCCAAGGCUAAAUACUCCUGACUGACCGAUAGUGAACCAGUACCGUGAGGGAAAGGCGAAAAGAACCCCGGCGAGGGGAGUGAAAAAGAACCUGAAACCGUGUACGUACAAGCAGUGGGAGCACGCUUAGGCGUGUGACUGCGUACCUUUUGUAUAAUGGGUCAGCGACUUAUAUUCUGUAGCAAGGUUAACCGAAUAGGGGAGCCGAAGGGAAACCGAGUCUUAACUGGGCGUUAAGUUGCAGGGUAUAGACCCGAAACCCGGUGAUCUAGCCAUGGGCAGGUUGAAGGUUGGGUAACACUAACUGGAGGACCGAACCGACUAAUGUUGAAAAAUUAGCGGAUGACUUGUGGCUGGGGGUGAAAGGCCAAUCAAACCGGGAGAUAGCUGGUUCUCCCCGAAAGCUAUUUAGGUAGCGCCUCGUGAAUUCAUCUCCGGGGGUAGAGCACUGUUUCGGCAAGGGGGUCAUCCCGACUUACCAACCCGAUGCAAACUGCGAAUACCGGAGAAUGUUAUCACGGGAGACACACGGCGGGUGCUAACGUCCGUCGUGAAGAGGGAAACAACCCAGACCGCCAGCUAAGGUCCCAAAGUCAUGGUUAAGUGGGAAACGAUGUGGGAAGGCCCAGACAGCCAGGAUGUUGGCUUAGAAGCAGCCAUCAUUUAAAGAAAGCGUAAUAGCUCACUGGUCGAGUCGGCCUGCGCGGAAGAUGUAACGGGGCUAAACCAUGCACCGAAGCUGCGGCAGCGACGCUGAUGCGUUGUUGGGUAGGGGAGCGUUCUGUAAGCCUGUGAAGGUGUACUGUGAGGUAUGCUGGAGGUAUCAGAAGUGCGAAUGCUGACAUAAGUAACGAUAAAGCGGGUGAAAAGCCCGCUCGCCGGAAGACCAAGGGUUCCUGUCCAACGUUAAUCGGGGCAGGGUGAGUCGACCCCUAAGGCGAGGCCGAAAGGCGUAGUCGAUGGGAAACAGGUUAAUAUUCCUGUACUUGGUGUUACUGCGAAGGGGGGACGGAGAAGGCUAUGUUGGCCGGGCGACGGUUGUCCCGGUUUAAGCGUGUAGGCUGGUUUUCCAGGCAAAUCCGGAAAAUCAAGGCUGAGGCGUGAUGACGAGGCACUACGGUGCUGAAGCAACAAAUGCCCUGCUUCCAGGAAAAGCCUCUAAGCAUCAGGUAACAUCAAAUCGUACCCCAAACCGACACAGGUGGUCAGGUAGAGAAUACCAAGGCGCUUGAGAGAACUCGGGUGAAGGAACUAGGCAAAAUGGUGCCGUAACUUCGGGAGAAGGCACGCUGAUAUGUAGGUGAAGUCCCUCGCGGAUGGAGCUGAAAUCAGUCGAAGAUACCAGCUGGCUGCAACUGUUUAUUAAAAACACAGCACUGUGCAAACACGAAAGUGGACGUAUACGGUGUGACGCCUGCCCGGUGCCGGAAGGUUAAUUGAUGGGGUUAGCGCNACAUCAAAUCGUACCCCAAACCGACACAGGUGGUCAGGUAGAGAAUACCAAGGCGCUUGAGAGAACUCGGGUGAAGGAACUAGGCAAAAUGGUGCCGUAACUUCGGGAGAAGGCACGCUGAUAUGUAGGUGAAGUGAUUUACUCAUGGAGCUGAAAUCAGUCGAAGAUACCAGCUGGCUGCAACUGUUUAUUAAAAACACAGCACUGUGCAAACACGAAAGUGGACGUAUACGGUGUGACGCCUGCCCGGUGCCGGAAGGUUAAUUGAUGGGGUUAGCGCAAGCGAAGCUCUUGAUCGAAGCCCCGGUAAACGGCGGCCGUAACUAUAACGGUCCUAAGGUAGCGAAAUUCCUUGUCGGGUAAGUUCCGACCUGCACGAAUGGCGUAAUGAUGGCCAGGCUGUCUCCACCCGAGACUCAGUGAAAUUGAACUCGCUGUGAAGAUNNNNNNNNNNNNNNNNNNNNNNNNNNNNNNNNNNNNNNNNNNNNNNNNNNNNNNNNNNNNNNNNNNNNNNNNNNNNNNNNNNNNAGCGCAAGCGAAGCUCUUGAUCGAAGCCCCGGUAAACGGCGGCCGUAACUAUAACGGUCCUAAGGUAGCGAAAUUCCUUGUCGGGUAAGUUCCGACCUGCACGAAUGGCGUAAUGAUGGCCAGGCUGUCUCCACCCGAGACUCAGUGAAAUUGAACUCGCUGUGAAGAUGCAGUGUACCCGCGGCAAGACGGAAAGACCCCGUGAACCUUUACUAUAGCUUGACACUGAACAUUGAGCCUUGAUGUGUAGGAUAGGUGGGAGGCUUUGAAGUGUGGACGCCAGUCUGCAUGGAGCCGACCUUGAAAUACCACCCUUUAAUGUUUGAUGUUCUAACGUGGACCCGUAAUCCGGGUUGCGGACAGUGUCUGGUGGGUAGUUUGACUGGGGCGGUCUCCUCCUAAAGAGUAACGGAGGAGCACGAAGGUUGGCUAAUCCUGGUCGGACAUCAGGAGGUUAGUGCAAUGGCAUAAGCCAGCUUGACUGCGAGCGUGACGGCGCGAGCAGGUGCGAAAGCAGGUCAUAGUGAUCCGGUGGUUCUGAAUGGAAGGGCCAUCGCUCAACGGAUAAAAGGUACUCCGGGGAUAACAGGCUGAUACCGCCCAAGAGUUCAUAUCGACGGCGGUGUUUGGCACCUCGAUGUCGGCUCAUCACAUCCUGGGGCUGAAGUAGGUCCCAAGGGUAUGGCUGUUCGCCAUUUAAAGUGGUACGCGAGCUGGGUUUAGAACGUCGUGAGACAGUUCGGUCCCUAUCUGCCGUGGGCGCUGGAGAACUGAGGGGGGCUGCUCCUAGUACGAGAGGACCGGAGUGGACGCAUCACUGGUGUUCGGGUUGUCAUGCCAAUGGCACUGCCCGGUAGCUAAAUGCGGAAGAGAUAAGUGCUGAAAGCAUCUAAGCACGAAACUUGCCCCGAGAUGAGUUCUCCCUGACUCCUUGAGAGUCCUGAAGGAACGUUGAAGACGACGACGUUGAUAGGCCGGGUGUGUAAGCGCAGCGAUGCGUUGAGCUAACCGGUACUAAUGAACCGUGAGGCUUAACCUUACAACGCCGAAGGUGUUU
RNAcentral lists this ribosomal RNA (3465 nucleotides) under Escherichia coli. Its description in RNAcentral is "23S ribosomal RNA". It matches the Rfam family "Bacterial large subunit ribosomal RNA". The record is from RNAcentral. Lineage: Bacteria; Pseudomonadati; Pseudomonadota; Gammaproteobacteria; Enterobacterales; Enterobacteriaceae.